GACGAACGCUGGCGGCGUGCUUAACACAUGCAAGUCGAACGGAAAGGCCCUGCUUUUGUGGGGUGCUCGAGUGGCGAACGGGUGAGUAACACGUGAGUAACCUGCCCUUGACUUUGGGAUAACUUCAGGAAACUGGGGCUAAUACCGGAUAGGAGCUCCUGCUGCAUGGUGGGGGUUGGAAAGUUUCGGCGGUUGGGGAUGGACUCGCGGCUUAUCAGCUUGUUGGUGGGGUAGUGGCUUACCAAGGCUUUGACGGGUAGCCGGCCUGUGAGGGUGACCGGCCACAUUGGGACUGAGAUACGGCCCAGACUCCUACGGGAGGCAGCAGUGGGGAAUAUUGCACAAUGGGCGGAAGCCUGAUGCAGCAACGCCGCGUGCGGGAUGACGGCCUCCGGGUUGUAAACCGCUUUCGCCUGUGACGAAGCGUGAGUGACGGUAAUGGGUAAAGAAGCACCGGCUAACUACGUG
Molecule: ribosomal RNA, 468 nt
Filed under: uncultured bacterium
Lineage: Bacteria
Description: partial 16S ribosomal RNA
Rfam family: Bacterial small subunit ribosomal RNA
Source: RNAcentral